Molecule: long non-coding RNA, 911 nt
Organism: Saccostrea cuccullata (small rock oyster)
Lineage: Eukaryota; Metazoa; Mollusca; Bivalvia; Ostreida; Ostreidae
Exons: 3
Source: RefSeq, a predicted model, not a curated record
UUUAUUCUUACCCUCUGCAGGUUUAGUUUACAGUGAUGACGACUGCGACGAUGAUGACGACGACUGUCCAAAAGGCAGUGGAGUGGUAAUACUGGGGAUCAUCUUUGGUUCUAUAGCAGGCAUUCUCAUCAUCUUGAUCAUAAUAACCGUCGUUUGUGUCAAAUUCUGUAAAACAAAGAAGCAUGGUGCCGUGAUAAGUCCCGGAAGUGGAAAUACAAAUCCAGUUUCUCAAGGAUACACACGCCCACCUCAUGUCUACACCGUUGGAUACACAUAUUCCUCCCCAACCGCCCCUACCUAUUCAGAGGUGACCUCUCAAACGUUCAUCACACCCUCCACUGGUGGUUUCCACUCCACCACAGAAAAUGUACCACCACCGCCAUCUUAUGAAGAGUUUUUAUCUAAUAGCACGUCACCACCAAAAUAUUAGUAUCUUCUGUCACAUGAGAACUUGUCUUCGCUGCUGUGCAGCAUCAUUUGUAAAAGAAAACAACAGAUCAUGGGCGUACCUAUCGUUUUUCAUUGAAUCUCUCAGUCACUGUGCCACUUUAAACAUUUUUGUUAGAAUAUGAAUAAUAUUCUGUUGUUAUUCAGUUUUGUUUUGGAUAUAUCUAUAAGAUGCUUUAAUCUAGCGGAUUUUCUAUCAUGAUGAAUGUUCUUGAUAUUCAUCAUUAUUUCUAACGUUAACUUAAAAAAGAAAGAUCUGUACAUAUCUAAGCAAGGUUGUUUUGCAGAUAAGGCAUUACAUUUAUUGAAUGUUUGUUCAUUCAUAUUUUGUAUUUUCAAAUUGAAAUUUAUAUGUGUGUUGCCAAAACGGGUUUUAUCGAAUUGAAGAGAUAUUAAUUGUAUACCUAUUAUAAUAUUAUAAUGAAAAUCCAAGACGGAGAAGUUUAUUUAAGAAUGUGUACACU